UUAUGCGACCUCGAACCACAACCCUAAUCUCUACAGGGUUCAUGUGGGUUUGAUCCACAGCUCAGGGAUAAUGGACGAACCUGUAGUUAGGUGUAUAAUGGUUUAUUGAUGGCAGGCAUAAAAGACAUGGGUUUGAAUAUUUCAGUUAAGUUUGUGAAAGAGACUGAAAGUUCAUUCUUGACCUCGGAAACAGGAGUUGACAAAACAAUCUCAUCACUGUGUCCAUUUAGUUUUCUGUAGCUUUCAGUGUUAACACAUGAUCUUUCUCAACCGAUGUUGCCUUGUGAUGAGAUUUUUUGUCGACUUCUGUUCCCAGUGAAGCCAAGCAUUAACUUUCAAUCUCAAGCCAACAUGGAUGAGCAGUCCUUAAAGUGCUCAGAAUAUACGGAAUGGUUUGGACUACGAUUCAUUGUUUCUGUUCCCAAGAAAGGCUGAAUGUACUGUUUUUCAUGCUUUUUGGACUAUAACCAGAGGUUAUCUGCCAUUCAUCCAGCUCCCAUGACUCUCUCGGUUUCUCAGUGUGACGCACUAACCACAAGCUGAAAGGCUGCUGAACUGACUGACUUGUUGAUGAACUGCUCCAGUCCUGAUCGCCGCUCCUCAAUGAAGGACUCCUCAAAAAGGCCCUCAUCUCCGCGGAAUGGCAACUGUCUCUUCAGGGCUUUGCCCGGCAGAGAUGGUACUACAAUCUGAAGGUGUCGGACGUCAACACAAAUAACAGGAAAGAUGAGAAACAGGGCACCAAAAUAUGAAAUCCAAAGUCCACACUCGCUGUGCUGUCAAAAACUGCAGACAUUUCCAUUCAUAUAUGUGAGAUCCAGCCAAGAAAUAAACUUAUUUAGAAUGACA
This is a long non-coding RNA of Micropterus dolomieu (smallmouth bass), 849 nucleotides long. RefSeq lists it as uncharacterized. The record is from RefSeq and is a predicted model, not a curated record. The transcript has 4 exons. NCBI's taxonomy places the organism in Eukaryota, Metazoa, Chordata, Actinopteri, Centrarchiformes, Centrarchidae.